RNAcentral lists this long non-coding RNA (262 nucleotides) under Mytilus galloprovincialis (Mediterranean mussel). Lineage: Eukaryota; Metazoa; Mollusca; Bivalvia; Mytilida; Mytilidae. The record is from RNAcentral.
GGCCCCAGGAGGGCAUAUGAUACAGACAAUAUUAUUGUAAACAAUAACAUAUGCAAUACACACACAGUAAAAGAUAUGUAACAAGUGUUAUAAAAAUGAUAAAAUAAAAUAAUAUAACACAGAAAAUACACUCAACAAAAUAGUAGCAAUGUAUUAUUAUUCAAUGAAUAGUAUACUAUGUUGAAAAUGACUCAAGUGCACCCGGUAAGUGUAUCUUUACUUUGAGAAGACAAACAUGAGGCAUUAGUAGUUUGUGCGGAGA